Camellia sinensis is the source of this 835-nucleotide non-coding RNA. The record is from RefSeq and is a predicted model, not a curated record. NCBI's taxonomy places the organism in Eukaryota, Viridiplantae, Streptophyta, Magnoliopsida, Ericales, Theaceae.
GUAUGUAUUUUGUAGUGUGCUGGAACUCCAAAAAGGAGUUUAUGUUCUUCUAACUCAAAUAUUGUCUUGAGAAAAGAAUUAAGGAAACUGUGAGAGAGAGAGAGAGAGAGAGAGAGAGCGCUUCAUAUUGUGGUCAUCUUGCUGGAGCAAACCGUGGAGAAGGAAGAAAGGAAGAAUAAAGAAGAAGAGGGUUUUGUAGGAUACCAAAAUUGAAGUUAAAAAUUAUGAAAAAUUCAUCUUAAGGAAUUGAGGAAGGCGUCUCUACACCUCUUGGGAAUUAAUUCGUAGAGUUUCAAAUCUAUUCUUUGCUAUUUUGGAGAUUCCUAGACUUUUGUGUGGCUCGCCUCAACUUGGAAGAUUAGAGUUUCUGGAGGAUCAAAUGUGAACAUCUGGUAGUUGAGGUUUUUCUUAGCGUCACUCUAGGAUGUAGUUUUAUCCUUUGUUUUAUGAAGUAGGUUGAUUGUAAAUGUUUGCUUUGUAAAGUUGGAUGUAUUGAUGAAUUCACGAAUAGUAUGUUUUAUUUUGGGGGUAGUGGUGCAUGGAAACUAUUUUAGUAGCAUGAUGAUAUUUUUGUCUUUGCAUAGAUCAUCUCAUAUAUGUUGGCCAAUCGAAGGGUCUUAUGCACUAUUGGUGAUGUGACACAAGAAUUAUACAGGUGAUUAUUGUGUACAAGUGUUAUAGCGUUGAAGUGCGCCCUCUUGGCGGGGAUUGCCUUGCCGAGAUUGGGUCGUGACAAUAUGGCCCAUGACAUAUCUAGUAGGUUCAAAAUACGAUCAUUGUGUUUGGUUGAUGAUUUGGAAAGAAAAAGAAAAAUGAAGAAAAAAAAAAUUGUUUA